Molecule: non-coding RNA, 266 nt
Filed under: Clostridium sp.
Lineage: Bacteria; Bacillati; Bacillota; Clostridia; Eubacteriales; Clostridiaceae
Description: T-box sequence
Rfam family: T-box leader
About the family: Uncharged tRNA acts as the effector for transcription antitermination of genes in the T-box leader family. T-boxes are found upstream of many aminoacyl-tRNA synthetase genes and some amino acid biosynthetic genes usually in Gram-positive bacteria. The anticodon of a specific tRNA base pairs to a specifier sequence within the T-box motif, and the NCCA acceptor tail of the tRNA base pairs to a conserved bulge in the T-box antiterminator hairpin.
Source: RNAcentral
AAAAAUGCAGUGACUGAGGGAAAGUAACUUUUACAUUUGUUUUCAGAGAGUUGUCGGUUGGUGUAAGAUAAUAACAAUAAAUUGUGAAAAUCUCCUCAAGAGCAGUUGAACUAAAGAAUUCAGAAAUAAUUUGUGUAGGUUCAAACGGAUUAAUUCUUCGUUAAAAGAAUUAGCAUUAACACAUUAUUGUGUAGAUGUUUUGAGGUGGCUAUAUUUAUUUAUAGCAAUAAGAGUGGUACCGCAGAGCCUAAGACUUUGUCUCUUGA